Molecule: small nuclear RNA, 23 nt
Filed under: Arabidopsis thaliana (thale cress)
Lineage: Eukaryota; Viridiplantae; Streptophyta; Magnoliopsida; Brassicales; Brassicaceae
Description: snRNA_08075
Source: RNAcentral
CCGUGCUAUAACGGUAUGCUAUC